This 70-nucleotide transfer RNA is filed under the name Xenophora japonica. RNAcentral describes it as "tRNA-Tyr". It matches the Rfam family "tRNA". From Rfam's summary of the family: Transfer RNA (tRNA) molecules are approximately 80 nucleotides in length. Lineage: Eukaryota; Metazoa; Mollusca; Gastropoda; Littorinimorpha; Xenophoridae. The record is from RNAcentral.
UUGUUUGGUGGCCGAGUUUGGAGGUGGUAGACUGUAGAUCUACUAACGGAAUUAAAUUUCCCCAACAAAC